ACGUCCUCGCGUCGUGCGUCCCCAGGCCCCAGCCCUGCCGCACAAACCCUAGGCUCCCAAGCCCACAACGUCGCACUCCUCCCUCCUCCAUCCUCAGCCCCCGCCGCUAUUCUGCCUCCCUCCUCUCUGUCGUAUGACCACGUCGCUGGGAGGAAGCGGCCGUUCGUGGCUCCAUACUGCUGUCUAAGUGCCACGCAAGAGGUCAGGGGCUGCCACCACCAUGAACCAGGCCAAAGGGGACGCCCGUUGACGAGCCUCCAGGCAUGAAGCUGACGGCGAGCAUGCCGUUUAUCCGUCAACAAGCCGCCAGGAGGACCUACCGGCCGGUCCCGUGUCGUCGAGCAAGGGCUGCCGGUUGCGUCGUCGUGGGAGGAGGCUCGCCAAGGAGCAGCGGGGAGGAGAUGAGGACACGCCCCCGGACUCCCUAUUUCCUUCUGGUCGUACCUUCCCUAAGCCGUCUCUCUCUAUUGGGCAGCUUCCAUAUGGGAUCUGUACUAGGAAAAGGAGAACCUAUGCGGGGAUGCGGGGUGACGACGAGCGCCGGUGAGCUGGCUGGACAGGUGCCGGGCCCAUGGGCGCGGUUGGGGAGCUGCGCACACAUCCAUCAACGGCGAGCACAUCCAAGGCCAGCAUGUCGAGAUGCGAAUGCGUAUGCCACAAGCUGUGCCAACUUCAAAGGUCAAAAACCCCUUUCUGGGGCGAUCCGUGAGAGGCAUUGCUGAUUGAGACGGGAAAGGGGGAGGAUAUGAUGACCUAAGGGCAUGGAACAACAAUGCUUAAAGCGUACUGGAGGCUGAGUAUGUUGUCUAUGCAAUGGUAUGAGCUUGGUAAAGGAAGCUCAUGGCAGCUACUUCAUUAUUGGGAGGCCUUUACUUUCUCCUUUUUCACGUCUAUACAUAGACAUACAUUCUGUUAUGACAGAAAAAUGGUGUCUGCAUUUACCCAAACAAACUGUGACUGCAUUUGCUUCAGUCAUCACUGAAUUACUAGAGAAAAAUGGUGUCUGCAUUUACCCAAGAAACUUUGAAGUACAUUAUAUUUCUUAGUUUGUGAAAAUAAACUAUUGCUGCACUUAUCACCAUCGUCAUUUCAUAUGUGUGUGGAUAACUAGAUUUGGCAACUUCUCCAAUUAUAUGUGAUGAAAUAUUUUACCUUCGUCAAUAUGCUCCGGUUCCUUCUUAAUUAGCUCCUAUGUUUCUUGUCUUUUAUCUGUACAACUUUUAGCCACACCUUCAGCAUUUUAUGUAUAUAAUUCCCACUUUCAUUGCCCUUGCAUGUGCAAUUUACUUUGGCAAGGCCAGAGUCAACACGAUAGUGGUAGCCCAUUGCUACAUGGGAGCAAUUUAUCUCUAAGUAUGUCAUCUUUGCAAAUUAGAUACUCUAAUAUGCAUUUGCUUGGUUGUAUUUUGCUGACAUAUCAUGUAAUUUCUCGCCAAACGCCCAAACGUAAUACCAGGUAAUUUUAAAUAACUGUGAGGUUGCAUGGUUUCAUAAUAUAUAAAAAGUACAUUCAAGUUACAGUAGGUGUCUAAUUCUGGACUCUGAUCACAAGUACUUAAUAUAAACACUUUCGCCUAUAUGCUGCAGAAAGAGGCCAAUAAGUUAUCCGAGUGCACUGAUGAUAGUUUUUUCUUUCCAGAACACAUUGAAUUGUUGUUACAGAAGUGUGGUAUCUCACAACCUUCUCCCAGUUAGGGCUUUAUAUCGUAUUCUGUAAAGUAUAAUGUUGGUUUCAGAAUCAUCUUCCCAUCCCUCCACGAGUGAUUUGGAUGGUCAGGAAAUCAUCGGUUGCUCUAAUGCGGGAGGAAGCAAGUUAGUUGAAAUGCCUUUCAUUUUUCUGAUAACUUCGUAUCAGUAAAAGGCAUCCAAUAUCCCACGAAUACCCAUGUACUGACAGUGGCUUAGUACAUAUUUUAGAGUGUAGAUUUUAGGAACGGAGGGAGUACAUAAGUAUUUAGAGAUUCAUUUCCUUUCAUUUGAGUGCGUACUUUUGAUCAUAGGAAAAUAAAAAUGAUAGAAGGUACUCCCUCCGUCCCAUAAUAAUAUAAGACAUUUUUGAAAGCUAUUGUCAUGCAAGAUUGUAUCGUAUAUUAAGUCA
Triticum dicoccoides is the source of this 2098-nucleotide long non-coding RNA. RefSeq lists it as uncharacterized. The transcript is spliced from 3 exons. The record is from RefSeq and is a predicted model, not a curated record. NCBI's taxonomy places the organism in Eukaryota, Viridiplantae, Streptophyta, Magnoliopsida, Poales, Poaceae.